This 243-nucleotide long non-coding RNA is filed under the name Dermacentor andersoni. Its description in RNAcentral is "uncharacterized LOC126525616". Lineage: Eukaryota; Metazoa; Arthropoda; Arachnida; Ixodida; Ixodidae. The record is from RNAcentral.
UUCCAGGUCGCGGAUAUGAAGACUAUGUUCAAGGUCGCGGAUAUGAAGACUAUGUUCAAGGUCGCGGAUAUGAAGACUAUGUUCAAGGGUGAAUGAAAGGCAUGGUUCUUGGACGUUGAAGAAAGGACUCUACGGUUGCAUCAUCAUGGAGGAUCGCUUCUGGCCAUGUUUUGAACCCCUCAUCACAUAACACGUCAAUCGUAACCGUAUUUGCUUGAAUGAAUAAAAAUACGUAAAUAUGAA